UUUAGGCUAAUUUGGGUUAAAAACGGUUUGGGCCACAUUAGGCUCAUGUAUUUGGACUGUUUUUAUUGGACUUUUAAUUUUAUUUAUUAUUUUUUCUUGUUUUUUUUUUUUGCUUAUUCUGAAUGGGCCCCGGGCAAAUUGGGCCUAUUACAUGUAUAAAAUCAUAUUAUAAAUACAUCAUAAUUUAUUCUUUAAAAAACUC
Molecule: long non-coding RNA, 202 nt
Filed under: Gossypium raimondii (Peruvian cotton)
Lineage: Eukaryota; Viridiplantae; Streptophyta; Magnoliopsida; Malvales; Malvaceae
Description: long non-coding RNA (GRAI_LNC008871)
Source: RNAcentral